UGGCACUUGCAAAACGUUACUACCGUGCAUACAACAUAUAAGAAUCCAAAUCGACCGCAGUGAAUUCACGAGAUUAAUGUCACAUGUACGCGUUUUCUUCCAAUAGGGUAUCACAAAGAGACCACAAACGAAUUCCACCAUCAUAUAUACACAAUACUCUAGUGCAAACUUGUAAGCAAGUAGCCCGGAGGAGUAGUAUCGAACAUCGUCACCAGACCCAUAAUGAUCCACCAAACUUCACGGCUAGCUAUUGAUGAUUAUGAUCUAGUAAUAGCACAAAUAAGCAAGUCUAAAAAAGUUUCCAUGGUAAUGCCAAUUAGGAUUGACUACUAAUGGACGAAGCAAGUCUGCAUAAACUCUCUUUUCCCUCUGAAAACUUGUAUCUGUUGGAAUCACUCACAACCAUCAGUGGAAUGACGAUUGGGCCUUGCCAAAAUCCCCGGAUAUCUUCUCUUCUUAGCUUCGUCUGCCAAUAACCCAACCGAAGAUUUCAUCAGAUUACCACAUAAAAGAACAUUGUCAUAUCAACAUUAACCAUCCAACAAUGUAACUUCAAGUACUGUAAAUCUAAACACCAUGUCAUUCAUGUUCCAGCAAUGAAGUAACUUCUAUCUUGUGAGAUAUUACAGAAUUUGAAUCUUUCUCGUCCAUUCAAUUCGUAGUGCUAACAAACACACAACUGAUGAUAUGAACUUGCAACAUCAGAUAUUAACUGUUCUCAAAGGGGCAUCUACCAAAAUGUAGUGGCAUAGCACCACCAUAAAGUACUAGAUGUGCAUCCAUUUACUGUCAUGUUAUUUAUUUAUUACAUGAUCAAACAGUUUACUUCUUUUUACUGAAGUAUAAAAGCAUUAAAGUGAGUCACAGAACAGGGGACAAAGGCACAAUGGCAAUUCUACCAAAAUGUAGUGGGCAUAGCGCCACAUAAAAAUUGAUAAUUAUUAAAAGGACUAGAGGUGUGCCAUUUUACCGUCUUGUUAUUUAUUUACUAAGAUCAAACAGUUCACUCCUUUUUACCAGAGUGACGGAACAUGGUAUAAAGUAAUAAAUGCCAUGUUAGAAUAAAUCCGAGGCACUCCGUCGAUCAUCCAAGGACCAAGCAAUCACACGAGCACGACACCGAGAUUUGUUAACGAGGUUCACCGAUAUGGCUACAUCCCCGGGGCCUAACUACGGGCACUCCUCCCCGUAACACCGUUACAAUACUGCAUCCGGUCGCCCUGGACACCGGCACAUGCCGCCGGCUUCCCCUGCGUUCCGGUGCUAUUAUGUUGGCAUAGGUUACAUCGUGUGUCUAGCCCCGCUAUAUAUGAGAGGCCUAGGAUACAAGUGUCCUACUAGGACACGACUCCAUAUCCUAUCUAAACACAAUACAAUUCAGAGUCCAACUGUAACCUACUUUAUACACAAUAUUCGACACAACUCUAACAAACUCCACUUUGGCGAAUAUUCUCCACCACCUUGAAUUUGUCAAUGCGUCAAACUUCCAUGUACAUUGAACUUGAGCUUAUCCCAUGAGAACCGCUGCUACUCCAAAGACUCCAUAUGACUCCUCCUGCAACUUGUAGUCCCUUCUUUUCUUGACCACAGUCAACACUCGAGCAAAAUUAAGUUCCUCUUUACUCUAGGUUGUGCUUCCAACUUCUAGAGUAUCCGUCAACAUCAUCACACACCGAUCAUGACCUGCGUGAAAGUGAACAACUCACAUAUUGGGUGUCACACAUAAGAGUUACCAGAACUCAACAUCACUGCUCCUUUCUUGACAGCCUGUCUGAAACUCGAAGGAAUUUCACCAUUGCUUGUAGUCAUCCCGAGUCAAAUUUGCAGUUGUCUCACCACAUGUAUGACCACCAGAGCCCUGGCCCGUCUCCAUGUCCCGUGCGUACCGCACGCCUCGCCGCUAUUAUCGCGUCGAGCCUCCGCUGUCCCGGUCGAGUCUCAAGGGUCGUGAACCCACACUACUCAACCCUCACUGCAGAGUACCACCGAUCAUCACCGACCGGUGACGAGUUUCACGCUUCCAUCAGACCAUUGGGCUCCAGUCCGAACUACGUGUCCCUCGCUUUUCCAUCCCGCUGAAUAGGCUUCGACUCUCUGUGCACUUACGCCGUAGCCCCUCAAUCUAGCUCCAUCUUCAGCAUGACUCCAUGGUGGUUGUACGUGCCACCCCGUGCUUCGUUGACUCCAAGCUCUCAUGUGCGCACCGUCUUGAAUCAACCCCGCGCCAUAGUCUUGUUGAAGCCGCACAAGCCCUCAGGUCUGCGCCACGUGUUUCCACGCCCAGAAGUCGGUCACCAUCAGCAUCACGCUCCUAUGUCAUCGUCGCCGAUCCCACCGUCGUCUUCUGUACCAAACCGACUCGCGUCGAUCCGUCAGACUGUCUAGUCCGACCCAGCCGAACAUAUCCGACUGCAUGACACACUCCAGACUCCUCAAGCCGUCACCGUAUCCAACGCCAUCCAUACACAAAAGUGUACCAGCAAAGAAAAACAAAGCAAAAUCCCUCAUAGCCUUCUCGUGUGAACAACACACGUAUAUAGCUCCUGGGCUUAUCUUCUUUCUUUCUUCUUGAUAGCAUCCCGGCGAAGGACUAGUCUUUGUGUCAAAUUUUUUUCAAACAAAUCCCACGCAAACGUGCAAGCCUUGCCAGCUCAUUGCCCAUCUUCAGCGAUCCAGCGCCUGGCCACCACGCGCUAGCAGCCGGCCUCGUUCAGGUCAUCAGCCGCCACCCCAGCCAUGGGCUGCCUGCACAGCCGCACCCCUAUGGGCCUUGGGCCAUCACAGUCGGGCCUUGGCAGCCACUGGCGCCCUACCUGGGCCACAAGCCUCUGCUGUCGCUCGCCUCUGCGAGCGCUGCCACUCGGCCACCAUCCGAUCUCGAUUUUGUCUCAAAAAAAAUUCCGAUCUCGAUUGCUCGAUCUUGCCGAGUCGCCGAAAACUGCUGCCAGCCUGCCUGAUAUCCGAUUUUCGUGUCGUUCGCCUUGUACCGUUGAACUCGCCGAUUCUGCUGCUCGCUUCCAAUUGCUUCACCGAAGAUUACAAGACGACCAAUACAUCUGCUCCUGCAUCCUAACUCGCCGAUGACAUAUCCCGUAUUAGGAUUGCUUCCUGCAGACUUCCGUCGAUGCUUUCUUCCUUCCUUCCUCUAGAUCAACUAUCUGCCUCUAGAUCAACUAUCUGCAGCCUCCAAAUAACCUAGCUCAUGAUACCACUUGCUAGAAUAAAUCCGAGGCACUUCGUCGAUCAUCCGAGGACCAAGCAAUCACACGAGCAUGACACCGAGAUUUGUUAACGAGGUUCACCGAUAUGGCUACAUCCCCGGGGCCUGACUACGGGCGCUCCUCCCCGUGACACCGUUACAAUACUGCAUCCGGUCGCCCUGGACACCGGCACAUCCCGCCGGCUUCCCCUGCGUUCCGGUGUUAUUAUGUUGGCAUAGGUUAGAUCGUGUGUCUAGCCCCGCUAUAUAUGAGAGACCUAGGAUACAAAUGUCCUACUAGGACACGACUCCAUAUUCUAUCUAAACACAAUACAAUUCAGAGUCCAACUGUAACCUACUUUGUACACAAUAUUCGACACAACUCUAACAUGCCAAAUGCAGCUAAGAAGAGUAGACUCGUAUGCCAUAGCUAAAACUUCAAAACUUUGGGCCUUCCCAUCGGUUUCGAUGGAGAAAUUAGUAAUGACAAGAAAACUCAAGAAAGGUGCUUGCAAACAGUUUGGAAGCAUGCAAACAUUGUUAUAAUCACACUCACUGCAGAGAUACAACGAUCACAAUGAGUGAUGGAGCGUAAGCAAUUUGAUUUGCUUUUUUUCUAAUACAUAGAGAAGGGGAGCCUUGGCGCAGUGGUAAAGCUGCUGCCUUGUGACCAUGAGGUCAUGGGUUCAAGUCCUGGAAACAGCCUCUUACAGAAAUGUAGGGAAAGGCUGCGUACUAUAGACCCAAAGUGGUCGGACCCUUCCCUGGACCCUGCGCAAGCGGGAGCUACAUGCACCAGGUUGCCCUUUUUUUUUCUAAUACAUAGAACUGAUCGUUUUUGCUAUCAUCACUUCCUAACAAAAGCAUACGGUAGAACUGCAUCAGUUGGCUACUUGCACGAUUUAAGAAUGAUGCCAAUCCCAAUUUACUAUGCAAUGACCAGAGGAAAUAGCAAAAACCUCAUUGGUUUGAUAUGCAACGAUGCUCCAUCAUAAUAACAAAUAUCAACAGCAGUAGGCAGUAAUCAACAACACCGGAGGACUGUUUUCAUUCUAUGAGGAGGAUACACAAAAUAUGCAGAUUAUAAUUGAAAAGACCAUAUGGCUCACAGAUACAGGGGGCAAAGCAAAGGGAGUAGUAUACCUCAACAAAACUGCGAUGGCGCUUUCCUGUCCGCCUGGCCACCCCUCCACACACUAAGAACGAGCGCUGGGAUGAUAACAAAGCAAGCUGUCGCGUGCAUACCAAAUAGUGCCACAUCUAUGAUUACGGAGGCGACCAUUUCACCCUGAGAUAUCGAACCCUCCACGUGCGGCGACAGCAUCGCCACCAGAAGACCAGCGACCAUUAGAAGGAAGAAGGCCACAUCCGCAACAUAUCCAAGCACCGCGGUGCGCGGAAGCCUAAACAUGUCUGCAACCGACUCCCGCGUGAAUGCUCCUGAUGCGCUCUGAGGACAGCAAUUUCAACAAAACCACAGGGAUGAGCAUGAGUAUGUAUGGAAUGGUUCGGAAAUGGAAGGAUGCAAAUGAAGUGAUGAACAUGAACACACAUGGAAAAAAUUAGUAGUACCACUGAUCAGGACAACCUGAACUGUAUAUUGAAACUUAGUUAGAACAUAAUGCUAACAGUGGGCUCAUCCACUAGCAUAUGUACUGCAUUACUGCUGCAAUUCGACCACAAUAAAGAUCACAGGGAGUCAAUUUGCACAAUAAACUACUAAUACUACUCAUCAGGACAACCUGAACUACGAAAUUAAUUACUAACAUAAUAUAUAUGGCAACUUAAUUAGAACAUAAUGAUAACACUGGCCUAUGUACUACUGUAAUUCGACCGGAAUAAAGAUCACAGGGAGUCAAUUUGCGCGAUACCUUCUUGAAUGCCGAAGUGGAUCCAGAUACAAGUGCAAUCACGUAGGCCACGCACAUCAACAAGACGAGAAGCGCGACCAGCACAAGGAUACUGUAGAUGAGGACCUUGAGGCCCCAGUACAUGAUGGCCUGCAGGAACACGAAUUGGGCGGAGCUCUCGCCCCAGGCGCGGCUCGCCACGACCUGUCCAGCCGUGGCCGCGGAGAUGACCCACGCGACCCCGAAGCCCAGGUAGGGGAGGGCUCCCGCCGCGACGCAGAGGGCGCGCCCCAGCGCCAGCAUCGGGGCGAGGGCCAAGUGCACGAGCGCCAGCACCACGACGACGAUCCUCGCCGGCGGGGGCGGGGGCGGGGGCGGGAGCGGCGGCGAGGGCAGCACCGCGUCGGCGACGGCCAUCGAUCGGUACGGGAAACCCUAGCUCCUGGAAGCUUCUCGCCGUGGGAGGAGGCGGCGAGGGGACGGGGGUUUGUGGGAAAUGGGGAUUAGCGAGGAACACGGGAGUGGGUUUUGCGGCAAGCUGUCCCUCUUGCCUUCCGGGUUCAGAUCUGACCCACUUCCUCUCGACUAGCGCAUUCGGGUUCUAACCGGGUACGUGGAAAUAGUGAGUGUCCGAUUCGAUCCUGCACAAUUACAGAAUUUCAUUUUUUUUAUAAGAACUACCGAAUUUAUUUUUUUGACAGAACUUCUCCUCCUUUAUUCACUUAGCAAAAUAGUGGCAUCCUUUACAAGUAAUGGAUGGAAGAAGUACAUCCAAUGCCGAAUUCAUUCAGAUAGGAGGAGAAAAAUUAACUAUCCUAGCAAGUUCGCGAGCUACUUUAUUACUCUCUUUAUAUUAAAUAGCAAUCGUCAAUAAUUGCACUUGCCACCGAAGAGGAGUUAAAAACAUGCCCCUUCCCCUCCUGACCUAGCCCUUCCCCCGCCGCCCCCGCGCGGCNNNNNNNNNNNNNNNNNNNNNNNNNNNNNNNNNNNNNNNNNNNNNNNNNNNNNNNNNNNNNNNNNNNNNNNNNNNNNNNNNNNNNNNNNNNNNNNNNNNNNNNNNNNNNNNNNNNNNNNNNNNNNNNNNNNNNNNNNNNNNNNNNNNNNNNNNNNNNNNNNNNNNNNNNNNNNNNNNNNNNNNNNNNNNNNNNNNNNNNNNNNNNNNNNNNNNNNNNNNNNNNNNNNNNNNNNNNNNNNNNNNNNNNNNNNNNNNNNNNNNNNNNNNNNNNNNNNNNNNNNNNNNNNNNNNNNNNNNNNNNNNNNNNNNNNNNNNNNNNNNNNNNNNNNNNNNNNNNNNNNNNNNNNNNNNNNNNNNNNNNNNNNNNNNNNNNNNNNNNNNNNNNNNNNNNNNNNNNNNNNNNNNNNNNNNNNNNNNNNNNNNNNNNNNNNNNNNNNNNNNNNNNNNNNNNNNNNNNNNNNNNNNNNNNNNNNNNNNNNNNNACAGAGGAGUGGUGCGGGCCCUUCUCUUCGGCUGGGGGCACGGCGCGGCGUCGCCUGGCGUGCUGUGGCGCUGGGUGGGGGCCGCGUGGCCGACGGCGCGACUGGUGGUGGUCGCGCGGGGCCCAGCUGUGGCGGCGGAUCUGGCGUGACGGGGCUCCUGCGACGAGGGCUGCCGAAGGCGCGGCCCGGCGGCCCUGGGCGUCGGGUGGCGGCUGCUGACAGCGAGGAGACCGGCGCAAUAGCGGCUUGGUGGCGGUGGUGGCGGUGUGUGCCGGUCGGAUCUGGCGAUUUCCGGUGGGCGGCGCGGGUUGGGGCACUGGCCCCGCGUGGCUGCUGCUCUGGCUGUGGGCGGUGGCGGCGAGGCGGCUCAGCCCUCUGGUGGAGGCUUCCAUUCGUCGCGCCGGCACCACGGCGGCUCGGCAGGUUGCCUGCGGCGACGGCGGCUGGAUUUCUGGCGUCCGUUCGUUUGUAGGCGGCCUGAUUCGACCUUCGAGCCAUCUUCGCGAUGUCCGGCCGCUAUCUUCGUCAAAGGGCUGGCCCUCCCCCGCUGCGGUCCAUCACCCGUCUCGCACCUGGCAGCAAGACCGAGAUCGUCUCGCGCCCGGCAGCAGGACUGACCUCGUCUCGCGCCCGACAGCAGGACCGAGCUCAUCUCGUGACCGGAGGCAGGACCAUGCUCGUCUCGCGCCCGCCAGCAGGACCGAGCUCGUCUCGCGCCUGGUGUCGCAAAACGGGUCGAUGAAGGCCAAGUUUGGCCGGCCUAUUGGGUCUCGGCACUGGGGGCCGUCCAUGUGCUUUGGUUGGGGUAGCGGCGGAUCUCGGGUGAGGUGGUGUCAAGGUCUUGGAUGCCGGGGCGGCAGCCCUGGUGGUGGUUCCGCGGUGCUCGUGGGCAGAGCCCAUGGCUUGGUGAUGUCCGGUCGCCACGGCCGUGUGGGCGGCGUGGUAGCCGGGGUGUGGCGUUCGGUGGCGGUGAGUGGUGGCCGGGGUGAAAACCUGCUUUAUCUUUGGACAGACCAGCGGCGGCAAAACUCGUUUCCUUCUUGAAGGCGUCUUCGCGGCUCUCAUUGCCCAUCGUGGUGCUCUAGGAGAAACUCUGAUCCUCGGAUCGGACGGUGGCGGCGCCCUAGUGUCGUUCCCUUCCUGAAGGUGCCGCCUUGGAGCCCACGGUUCGUCAUAUGCGGCUUCACCUCUCAGUGUAGUGCUUGGGUUGCUGCGCUCAGCGCUUAUGUAUCCUGCCUUGGGUGCGUGUGUGCGUGGGUGUGCUCUUGUAUUGGAUGCUGUUGAUCAUUGCUUUAUAUAUAAAGCGGGGCGAAAGCCAUUUUAAAAAAAAAGCUUCUGCAACCUCCAUGCUAUCUGAGUUGAUCACGAUCUUACUGCAUCCAAUGGUUCUGGCUAGAUUCAAGCCAAAUCUGACAGCCCAUGCCUUUGAAGGGAAAGAAUCAUAGCAUAUGUCCACUUCUGAUAGCAUUGGCCUUCAUUAGAAUGAGUGAAUCAUCUGCAAACAAAAUUUUUUGACACUGCUGGUGCAUCACGAUAAACUUUGACCCCCACGAGGUCCCCGUCAUUUUCAGCCCUGGAAAGUAGGGCAGUUAAUCCCUCCGUGCAAAGAAGAAAAAGAUAUGGCGAAAUGUUUAAAUUUAUUACUCUCUCCGACCCAUAUUAAGUGGCGCUAGUCUUGCAUUAAUUAAUAUGGAUCGGAGGGAGUACUGUUUUUUUUUUUCAAACAUAAUAAUAAGAGUUGAGUCCCAAUCGGGAUCUUCGAAAGUAUCAAAACUGGUGUCAAACUAUUAUGAUUGCACAAUUAGGUAGAUUUUCAUGAAGAACGGGCUUCAAAGGAAAAGACAAUAUUGUCAAAAGCAACUGAAAGUCAUGAUAUAUCCUUCCGUCUGGAAAUAGAUCUUGAUGAAUAACCUGUUUGAAAUGGAAAACACACCCAAUAACUAGAUGAAAAAAAUACAGUUGCAGUUCAAUGUCGUGAAAAAAUGACGCUAUGGACCACAAUCCAUCGUGCACAUCUAAGAAGUGUCUUCAGAUAUUACUGUCGACAAAAAAAAUUGGGUAAAGUAUGUGACAGUUUUCAACAACACAAAACAAAGGCAAGCAGACACCUCAUCCACGACAGACAGCCCACGUUGCGAUUGCCGACGAGAUUCAAGGAUCGAGAAUUCUACCGAGAUCGAAAUGGAAAUUCAGUCGACUGGAUUUUAGUAAAAAUGAAAGAAAAAGGGCACAUGUCUUUUUUUCACGGUUAGCGAAUCUUGUAAACAAAAAAUUGGAUAAAAAUGUCUAAGCUAUUUCUCGACCGUUGCUUUUUAGGCUAAUUCUUUCUUACAUUAAGAUUUGUGAGAAAAAAUUGUCUUCACUUAUUCAACAUAAAACACAACACAAUCAAAGUUAGCGGGCUUCUUCAAUUUAUACAUGCAUUUUGUUGUCAAAUUCAGAAUAACAAAUUGAUGAACAAACCGGUCUAGUGCGGCCUCUUAAUGGUUCAGCUCGUCUUUGUAACAUAGAUAUUCAAUUCAAAUUUAUUUACCAAAUAUCUAACACUGAUUGCGAAUUCGUAUCCCUGGUCAUAGCAUUAAUCAUCAUAAUGUUCAAAAUGCUGACGAAGUUCAGCAGCAAAUAUGAGGGUGAAAACGACAAUACAAGCAUACCACCAGGUAGAGUUAACAUUCUAACAGAGGACCCAACGACCACGAAGGCAGUAGAUAACCACUCCUGAUAAACAUAACCACGAGGAUACUCGAAAUGGAACGCAUACAUAGCCCACUUGCAGAACGUUACUACCAUGCAUACAACAUAAGAAUGCAAACCGACGGCAGUCAUACCAAUUCAUCACCAGAUUAAUGUCUCAUGAAAUGGAAGCAUUUUCUUCCAACAGGGUAUUACAAACAGGGCACAAAUUCUACCAUCAUGUAUACACAAAUAGUCCAGUGCAAACUUGUAAGCAAGUAGCCCAGAGCAGCAUCGAACAUCACCACCAGAUCCAUAAUAACCCAACAAACUUCACGGCUAUUGAUGAUUACAGUCUAGUAAUAUCAGAAAUAAGCAAGUCUACAAAAGUUCCCAUGGCUAGGAUGUACUAAUAGUAGAAGAAGCAAGUCCGCAAAGACUCCUUUUCCUCUGAAAACUUGUAUCUGUUGAGAUAACUCACAACCAUCAGCGGAAUGGGCACUGUAGCUCCUUGCCAAAUUCUCCGGAC
RNAcentral lists this long non-coding RNA (9688 nucleotides) under Triticum aestivum (bread wheat). Its description in RNAcentral is "long non-coding RNA (TAES_LNC020197)". The record is from RNAcentral. Lineage: Eukaryota; Viridiplantae; Streptophyta; Magnoliopsida; Poales; Poaceae.